This 136-nucleotide non-coding RNA is filed under the name Triticum aestivum (bread wheat). Its description in RNAcentral is "rRNA LSU_rRNA_eukarya". It matches the Rfam family "Eukaryotic large subunit ribosomal RNA", at positions 675 to 812 of the family's 3401-position model. Lineage: Eukaryota; Viridiplantae; Streptophyta; Magnoliopsida; Poales; Poaceae. RNAcentral also lists the same sequence under 1 other name. The record is from Rfam by way of RNAcentral.
CUGACACGCGUGCGAGUCGACGGGUUCUGAAACCUGGGAUGUGCAAGGAAGCUGACGAGCGGGAGGCCUUCAUGGGCCGCACCGUUGGCUGACCCUGAGCUUCUGUGAAGGGUUCGAGUUGGAGCACGCCUGCCGG